AUCCAUUUUUUAUAUUUAUUUUUUUUUUAGAAAAAGUACUAUAAAUUUGUUUUUAUAUAAAAAUAACAUUAUUUGCAUCGUUUUGCCAUACAUUUUUUUUUUAUCCUUAUGAUGAACUAAUUAUUUAUAUAUAUGUAUAUAUAAAUAUAUCAUAAAAAUAACAUAAAAUGGAUAAGUUAACUAAAAUAUUUCAUCAAGUUAUAAAUGAAAUAAAAAAAAUUGAUAUAAAAUAUGGAAUAAAUUUAAAUGAUUUCCAUAAUUUACUUUUUGUUAUUAGUAUAUUAUUUGGGUUAUUAUUUUUAUUUUAUAUAGUUUUUAUCUUUUUUACUAUAUUUUUAAAAAAAAAAAAACAUAUAAUAUUGUAUUGUUGUUGGGACCAUGUGAUAGUGGUAAAACAACUUUUCUUUUUAAAUUAAAAAUAAACAAACUAUGUAGAACUGUACCUUCCAUGAAAGAAAACAUUGCUUUUAUUAAUAUUAAAGAUAAAAAAAAAAUAAAAGUAUUAAAUUUGUUGAUUUCCCUGGACACCCAAAGUUAUCAUAUGGAAUUGAAAAAUAUCUAAGUAUAACGAAUGUUAUUAUUUAUAUACUUGAUAGCUCCGAUAGACAAUCCCUCAAAAUAGUUGCUGAGUAAGCAUGUGUACAUGUAUAUAUAUAUAUAUGUAUGUAUGUAUUUUUGUGCAUACGUAUCUACAUGUGUAAUAACGAAAAAGCGGAAAUGAGAAAUACACUAGUACGUUUUUUGCGACAACACAUGUAACACAUUCAUCCUAACAUAUAUUAUUACUACUAUUUAUAUUAUUACCAUUUAUAUUAUUAUUGUAGAAAAUUGUUCGAAUUAUUUAUGAACAAGACAGUUGUUAAAAGACAAAUCCCCUUCAUCAUUUGUUGUAACAAAACGGAUUUAUGCAACUCACGUCCCAAGCAAGUUAUUAAAGAAGAUUUAGAAAGAGAAAUAGAAAUUUUAAAAAUGUCAAAAAAUAAAGGCCUUGAUAAUGAUGAGUACACUGAAGAAAACGAAUAUUUUCUUGGACAAAACUCAGAGUUUUUUAGAUUUGAAAAAGCACCUUGUCAUAUUGAAAUUUGUAGUGCUUCUGUAAAGGAUGACAACAUAGAAGAAAUCAUAGAUCUUGUUAAAAAAUUCUAUUAACUAAAUUACAUAUUUCUUUAAUAUGUUUCUGAAUUUAAUUAAAACCCUUGUUUCUAUUCUUUACCAUACUUUUCACAUAAAAAAAAAAAAAAAAAUUUGUUAAUUCAUUUCAAGAUUUUUCAAUACUUUUCAACAAUUUUUUAAUACACUUUGGUAUAUAUAUAUAUAUUUUUUUUUUUUUUUUUUUUUUUUUAAAAUAAUGAAAUAUUUUGAUUAUAUAAAUAUCUACUUUUUUUUAUUUUUUUUCUAUUCUUGUUACACUUAUUUUUAAUAAUUUUAAAAAUUAAACUUAUUUGUUAAAACUAAAAUAACUUUUUGAUAGCAUCGUUUUUAAAAGGGGUAGCAUUAAGCAUAUUUCGUUGUAGUCAUGUGUGGACAAAUAAGUUUAUCACAUAUAUAUUAAUGUGAAAAAGGUUUAUAAAAUAUCUUAAUGAUAUAUUUAAAUUUUUUAAAAGCAUUAAAAAAAGAAAAAAAUAAGAAUAAAAUAAAUAUCAAGAAAUAGAACA
RNAcentral lists this long non-coding RNA (1655 nucleotides) under Piliocolobus tephrosceles (Ugandan red Colobus). RNAcentral's name for it is "lncRNA (ENSPTEG00000018987.1)". Lineage: Eukaryota; Metazoa; Chordata; Mammalia; Primates; Cercopithecidae. The record is from RNAcentral.